This 219-nucleotide long non-coding RNA is filed under the name Lathyrus oleraceus (garden pea). Its description in RNAcentral is "Pisum sativum (pea) long non-coding RNA (PSAT_LNC015060)". Lineage: Eukaryota; Viridiplantae; Streptophyta; Magnoliopsida; Fabales; Fabaceae. The record is from RNAcentral.
AUGGAAUAGGUUUGAAACACCUACAACUUUUAUGAAGUAAUGUUUCUCAUUUGAAGUCCAUAGAAAAUGUUAUUCAAGGUGGGAGAAAUGAACAUUUGACUUGGGACUUAGAAAAUUUUUAAAUAUGUUUGAUUCCCAAACUUCCACCUCAAAGUUAAUCAUGAUACAAGAUUCAAAUAAACAAUUGUUCAACAUGAAAGUUGUUCCCCUUGAUCUCAC